This 123-nucleotide small nucleolar RNA is filed under the name Coturnix japonica (Japanese quail). Its description in RNAcentral is "Small nucleolar RNA SNORA32 (ENSCJPG00005003991.1)". The record is from RNAcentral. Lineage: Eukaryota; Metazoa; Chordata; Aves; Galliformes; Phasianidae.
UGGUCAUUACCAAGGCUGCAAGGAUAUGGCUGUUCCUGGUGAGCUGUGGACAUGACCAUAAAGCAAGUCCAUCAGACUCUUGAAUUGCUGCGUUGUGUGGCAGUAGGUCUGCUGGGAAUAAAA